RNAcentral lists this ribosomal RNA (275 nucleotides) under uncultured bacterium. Its description in RNAcentral is "partial 16S ribosomal RNA". It matches the Rfam family "Bacterial small subunit ribosomal RNA", at positions 399 to 691 of the family's 1533-position model. The record is from RNAcentral.
GCGUGAGUGAUGACGGCCUUAGGGUUGUAAAGCUCUUUCAGCAGUGAAGAUAAUGACAUUAACUGCAGAAGAAGCCCCGGCUAACUUCGUGCCAGCAGCCGCGGUAAUACGAAGGGGGCUAGCGUUGUUCGGAAUCACUGGGCGUAAAGCGCACGUAGGCGGAUUGAUAAGUUAGGGGUGAAAUCCCAAGGCUCAACCUUGGAACUGCCUUUGAUACUGUCAGUCUUGAGUUCGAGAGAGGUGAGUGGAACUCCGAGUGUAGAGGUGAAAUUCGU